RNAcentral lists this ribosomal RNA (270 nucleotides) under uncultured archaeon. RNAcentral's name for it is "partial 16S ribosomal RNA". It matches the Rfam family "Archaeal small subunit ribosomal RNA", at positions 477 to 747 of the family's 1478-position model. The record is from RNAcentral.
CAGCUCUCCGAGUGGUAGGGAUGAUUAUUGGGCUUAAAGCGUCCGUAGCCGGCUUAGCCAGUCCCCUGUUAAAUUCAGCGACCUAAUCGUUGAGCCGCGGGAGAUACUACUAGGCUAGGAGGCGGGAGAGGUCGACGGUACUCCCGGGGUAGGGGUGAAAUCCUAUAAUCCCGGGAGGACCACCAGUGGCGAAGGCUGUCGACUAGAACGCGCUCGACGGUGAGGGACGAAAGCUGGGGGAGCGAACCGGAUUAGAUACCCGAGUAGUCC